UCAGGAGUCAGACUGCGGGAGCUAAGUUCCGUGGUCAAAAGGGAAAGAGCCCAGACCGACAAUUAAGGUCCCAAAGAUAUAGUUAAGUGGAAAACGAUGUGAAUUUGCAUAAACAACCAGGAUGUUGGCUCAGAAGCAGCCACUCAUUCAAAGAGUGCGUAACAGCUCACUGGUCGAGUGAAUUUGCGCGGAAAAUUACCGGGGCUAAACUAUACACCGAAAUUUCGGAUUUGUGAAUGUCUAAUAAUGUGUAUUAUUAAGGAAUAAAUUUUCUUUUGUCACGAAGUGACAAACAAAAUGAAAAAGUGAUAAAGAAUACACGAAAAGGAAAAUGAUGCAUAUUAUUAGACAUUUGCAAGUGGUAGAGGAGCAUUCUGUAGUAGGAAGAAGUCAAAGCGAGAGCAUUGGUGGACGAAGCAGAAGAGAGAAUGCUGGAAUAAGUAGCGAGAGCAAGGUGAGAAUCCUUGCCGUCGAAAGUCUAAGGUUUCCUGGGGAAGGUUCGUCCGCCCAGGGUAAGUCGGGGCCUAAGGAGAGGCCGAAAGGCGUAUCUGAUGGAUAGCAGGUGGAGAUUCCUGCACUAUAGCUAGUUUUAAAAGAUGCAAGGGACGCAGUAGAGGAAGAUAACCAAGGAAGAGGAAAAACUUGGUCCGCAAGGGAUAGUGAAAAUUAAUAGUAACGAAAUAUCAAGAAUCACACUGACGAGAAAAGCUUGUAGAUAUUAACUAGAAAUACCCGUACCGCAAACCGACACAGGUAGAUGAGGAGAGGAUCCUAAGACGAGCGGGAGAAGCAUUGUUAAGGAACUCGGCAAAAUAACCCCGUAACUUCGGGAGAAGGGGAGCCUAAGUAAAAUUAGGUCGCAGAGAAAAGGCCCAAGCAACUGUUUAACAAAAACACAGGUUUCUGCAAAAUCGAAAGAUGAAGUAUAGGAGCUGACGCCUGCCCAGUGCUGGAAGGUUAAGGGAAAGAGUUAGGUGUAAACCGAAGCUUAGAACUAAAGCCCCAGUGAACGGCGGCCGUAACUAUAACGGUCCUAAGGUAGCGAAAUUCCUUGUCAGGUAAGUUCUGACCCGCACGAAAGGCGUAAUGAUUUGGGCACUGUCUCGACAAUGUACCCGGCGAAAUUGUAGUACUAGUGAAGAUGCUAGUUACCUGCGACAAGACAGAAAGACCCCAUGGAGCUUUACUGCAGUUUGAUACUGGGUUUCGGCAAGUUAUGUACAGGAUAGGUGGGAGACUAAGAAAGAAAGGCGUCAGCUUUUCCGGAGUCACCCUUGGGAUACCACCCUUAAUUUGUUGGAAUUCUAACUAGUGGUCAUGAUCUGGCCAGAGGACAAUGUCAGACGGGCAGUUUGACUGGGGCGGUCGCCUCCAAAAGAGUAACGGAGGCGCCCAAAGGUUCCCUCAGUGCGGACAGAAAUCGCACGAAAGAGUGUAAAGGCAGAAGGGAGCUUAACUGGAAGAUAGACAUAUCGAGCAGAUACGAAAGUAGGGCUUAGUGAUCCGGUGGAAAUUGAAUGGAAAAGCCAUCGCUCAACGGACAAAAGUUACCCUGGGGAUAACAGGCUUAUCUCCCCCAAGAGUUCACAUCGACGGGGAGGUUUGGCACCUCGAUGUCGGCUCAUCGCAUCCUGGGGCUGAAGUAGGUCCCAAGGGUUGGGCUGUUCGCCCAUUAAAGCGGUACGCGAGCUGGGUUCAGAACGUCGUGAGACAGUUCGGUCCUUAUCUGUCGCAGGCGGAAGAUAUUUGAGAGGAGCUGUCCUUAGUACGAGAGGACCAGGAUGGACAUACCGAUGGUGUAUCAGUUGUCACACCAGUGGCACGGCUGAGUAGCCAAGUAUGGAAGGGAUAAACGCUGAAAGCAUCUAAGUGUGAAGCCCACCUCAAGAUAAGAUAUCUCAUAUCGUAAGAUAGUAAGAUUCCAUAAAGACUAUGUGGUUGAUAGGUUGGAGGUGUAAGUACAGCAAUGUAUUGAGCUGACCAAUACUAAUAAAUCGAGGGCUUAACCAC
Molecule: ribosomal RNA, 2010 nt
Filed under: human metagenome
Description: bacterial LSU rRNA
Rfam family: Bacterial large subunit ribosomal RNA
Source: RNAcentral